GGAGGGUGUAGCUCAGGGGUAGAGCAUGUGCUUAGCAUGCACGAGGUCCUGGGUUCAAUCCCCAGCAUCUCCA
This 73-nucleotide transfer RNA is filed under the name Vicugna pacos (alpaca). Its description in RNAcentral is "tRNA-Ala (AGC) (tRNA-Ala-AGC-495-1)". It matches the Rfam family "tRNA". From Rfam's summary of the family: Transfer RNA (tRNA) molecules are approximately 80 nucleotides in length. Their secondary structure includes four short double-helical elements and three loops (D, anti-codon, and T loops). The record is from RNAcentral. Lineage: Eukaryota; Metazoa; Chordata; Mammalia; Artiodactyla; Camelidae.